Molecule: ribosomal RNA, 315 nt
Filed under: uncultured bacterium
Lineage: Bacteria
Description: bacterial SSU rRNA
Rfam family: Bacterial small subunit ribosomal RNA
Source: RNAcentral
ACGGCCAGGGNUACACACGUACUACAAUGGUAGGGACAGAGGGCUGCAAGCCGGCGACGGUGAGCCAAUCCCAGAAACCCUAUCUCAGUCCGGAUUGGAGUCUGCAACUCGACUCCAUGAAGUCGGAAUCGCUAGUAAUCGCAGAUCAGCAUUGCUGCGGUGAAUACGUUCCCGGGCCUUGUACACACCGCCCGUCACACCAUGGGAGUUUGUUGCACCAGAAGCAGGUAGCUUAACCUUCGGGAGGGCGCUUGCCACGGUGUGGCCGAUGACUGGGGUGAAGUCGUAACAAGGUAGCCGUAUCGGAAGGUGCGG